RNAcentral lists this ribosomal RNA (354 nucleotides) under Stefaniella trinacriae. Its description in RNAcentral is "partial 12S ribosomal RNA". The record is from RNAcentral. Lineage: Eukaryota; Metazoa; Arthropoda; Insecta; Diptera; Cecidomyiidae.
UUAAAUAAUUUGGCAGUAUUUUUUAAAAUUAGAGGAUUUUGUUAUUUAAUAGAUAAUACACUUUAUAAUUUAUUUAAUUUUAUUUAUUGUAUAUUGUUGUCUUCAGUUAAUUUUUAAAAAAAAUUAAUAAAUUUUAUAAUUAAAUAAUUUAAGUCAAAUCAACAUGCAUAUUAUAAUUAAAUUUUAAAUGAAAUACAUUUUAUCUAUAAAAUUUAUGGAUAUAAAAUUGUAAAAUUUUAUUUAAAAUGGAUUUAAAAGUAAAAUUUAAUAAAUAUUAUUUUUGAAUUAAAAUAAAAAUAUGUACAAAUUGCCCGUCGUUUUUAAUUAUUAUUAAAAUAAGUCGUAACCAUGUAA